This 459-nucleotide ribosomal RNA is filed under the name uncultured bacterium. RNAcentral describes it as "partial 16S ribosomal RNA". It matches the Rfam family "Bacterial small subunit ribosomal RNA", at positions 338 to 795 of the family's 1533-position model. The record is from RNAcentral.
CCUACGGGAGGCAGCAGUGAGGAAUAUUGGUCAAUGGGAGAGAUCCUGAACCAGCCAAGCCGCGUGAGGGAAGACGGCCCUAUGGGUUGUAAACCUCUUUUGUCGGAGAACAAAACCCGGGACGUGUCCCGGACUGCGUGUAUCCGAAGAAAAAGCAUCGGCUAACUCCGUGCCAGCAGCCGCGGUAAUACGGAGGAUGCGAGCGUUAUCCGGAUUUAUUGGGUUAAAAGGGUGCGUAGGCGGUUCGUUAAGUCAGCGGUAAAAUGGCGGGGCUCAACCCCGUAGUGCCGUUGAAACUGGUAGACUUGAGUUGGCGAGAAGUACGCGGAAUGCGCGGUGUAGCGGUGAAAUGCAUAGAGAGCGCGCAGAACUCCGAUUGCGAAGGCAGCGUACCGGCGCCAGACUGACGCUGAGGCACGAAAGCGUGGGGAUCGAACAGGAUUAGAUACCCCUGUAGUC